AGUGAACGCUGGCGGUAGGCCUAACACAUGCAAGUCGAGCGGCAGCACAGUAAGAGCUUGCUCUUACGGGUGGCGAGUGGCGGACGGGUGAGGAAUACAUCGGAAUCUACUUUUUCGUGGGGGAUAACGUAGGGAAACUUACGCUAAUACCGCAUACGACCUACGGGUGAAAGCAGGGGAUCUUCGGACCUUGCGCGAUUGAAUGAGCCGAUGUCGGAUUAGCUAGUUGGCGGGGUAAAGGCCCACCAAGGCGACGAUCCGUAGCUGGUCCGAGAGGAUGAUCAGCCACACUGGAACUGAGACACGGUCCAGACUCCUACGGGAGGCAGCAGUGGGGAAUAUUGGACAAUGGGCGCAAGCCUGAUCCAGCCAUACCGCGUGGGUGAAGAAGGCCUUCGGGUUGUAAAGCCCUUUUGUUGGGAAAGAAAAGCAGCAGGUUAAUACCCCGCUGUUCUGACGGUACCCAAAGAAUAAGCACCGGCUAACUUCGUG
Molecule: ribosomal RNA, 492 nt
Filed under: uncultured bacterium
Lineage: Bacteria
Description: partial 16S ribosomal RNA
Rfam family: Bacterial small subunit ribosomal RNA
Source: RNAcentral